This 277-nucleotide ribosomal RNA is filed under the name uncultured bacterium. Its description in RNAcentral is "partial 16S ribosomal RNA". It matches the Rfam family "Bacterial small subunit ribosomal RNA", at positions 28 to 316 of the family's 1533-position model. The record is from RNAcentral.
GAUUAACGCUGGCGGCGUGCCUAACACAUGCAAGUCGAACGAGGGGGCAACCCCUAGUGGCAGACGGGUGAGUAACACGUGGUCAACCUACCGCUUUGUGGGGGAUAACCAGCCGAAAGGUUGGCUAAUACCGCAUACGUCGGGGCCGGCAUCGGCCCUUGAUAAAAGGAGCAAUCCGCAAGGUGACGGGACCGCGUCCCAUUAGCUAGUUGGUGAGGUAACGGCCCACCAAGGCUCCGAUGGGUAGCUGGUUUGAGAGAGCGACCAGCCACACUGG